AAGAGAUUAAGAUAUGGGAGUAGCUGCUAACUAAUUUCUAAAGCGGUUUAAUUCCGUUUGUCUCUUA
RNAcentral lists this transfer RNA (67 nucleotides) under Balclutha sp. EMHAU-2015-Zz052711. RNAcentral's name for it is "tRNA-Ser". The record is from RNAcentral. Lineage: Eukaryota; Metazoa; Arthropoda; Insecta; Hemiptera; Cicadellidae.